RNAcentral lists this ribosomal RNA (301 nucleotides) under uncultured bacterium. RNAcentral's name for it is "partial 16S ribosomal RNA". It matches the Rfam family "Bacterial small subunit ribosomal RNA", at positions 509 to 807 of the family's 1533-position model. The record is from RNAcentral.
CAGCAGCCGCGGGAAUACAGAGGGUGCGAGCGUUAAUCGGAUUUACUGGGCGUAAAGCGCGCGUAGGCGGUUACUCAAGUCAGAGGUGAAAGCCCGGGGCUCAACCCCGGAACUGCCUUUGAAACUAGGUGACUAGAAUCUUGGAGAGGUCAGUGGAAUUCCGAGUGUAGAGGUGAAAUUCGUAGAUAUUCGGAAGAACACCAGUGGCGAAGGCAAUCCCCUGGGCCUGCACUGACGCUCAUGCACGAAAGCGUGGGGAGCAAACAGGAUUAGAUACCCGUGUAGUCCCUGUCUCUUAUAC